UGUUAACAACAUAAAGACAAGAAUUGCUGUCAUUUCAUUUCAUUGGCUUGACCUCUUCAAGGAUGGGACUCUCUUCCUCCUCUUGUUACUACUCUGAACUUGCUUCAAAUCACACAUACACGACAAAGAACGGAAAUAUGGAGUGUGGCCCACAACAUUAUGGAGUAACGAACUUGGGUUCAAUUGGUUUAUUCAACGUCACUGCUCAAUUAAUUAUUCGUACCAGAAUUUGUGAUGGACAUGCUCCCAAAUGUCUAACGUUAGAAUACCAUUUGUCUGAUUUGAUACAAAUACUCAAUACAUUUUAAUUUUGCAACCACACUGUAUGAAAAAUUAAAGAGGAACACAAGAACUUACAAUCAA
Molecule: non-coding RNA, 363 nt
Organism: Jatropha curcas
Lineage: Eukaryota; Viridiplantae; Streptophyta; Magnoliopsida; Malpighiales; Euphorbiaceae
Source: RefSeq, a predicted model, not a curated record